This 218-nucleotide long non-coding RNA is filed under the name Carica papaya (papaya). Its description in RNAcentral is "long non-coding RNA (CPAP_LNC007402)". Lineage: Eukaryota; Viridiplantae; Streptophyta; Magnoliopsida; Brassicales; Caricaceae. The record is from RNAcentral.
CCCUAAUUUUCCCUGAAUUUUUUCUGGGAAACUGAAACACACUAACAGUACCUGCACGUGUUCCAAAAAAAAUCCAAAUUAGGCCCAGGGCCUCUUUCGGCCCAAAUCGCAACUCCAGCACGGCGGCUCCGCCGUGCUCCGGCGACGGCGCCGCCGCUGGCGGCGGCGAGUCGCCUCGGGUUGGCUGUUUUCGGCCGUUUUCGGCCGAAUUCGGCCAC